This 227-nucleotide long non-coding RNA is filed under the name Sorghum bicolor (sorghum). RNAcentral describes it as "long non-coding RNA (SBIC_LNC001311)". Lineage: Eukaryota; Viridiplantae; Streptophyta; Magnoliopsida; Poales; Poaceae. The record is from RNAcentral.
CAGCUUAUAUGUGCGGAUUCAAGUUCUUUAGGAGCUUGGAUCAGAGAUUUCUUCAGUCAUCAGCUUCUAUUAGUCAGUAAGUUUAUUAUUCUUAUUGUUCUUCUAGUUUAUGAGUUUCUUUUGAGUAUUUUGAUCUAGUGCACUAGGUUAAAAUAUAAUUUGUAGUGUAAGCGUGGUUCUUAGGUUCGGGUUACUCAUAGAUACACCCUAUAGUCCGGAUCGGUGGU